GGCGUGGCGCACGGGUGCGUAACGCGUGGACAACCUGCCCACCAGUGGGGAAUAACCCCGGGAAACUGGGGCUAAUACCGCAUACUCUUUCCUGGAUGAUGAUCCGGGAAUGGAAAGCCGCAAGGCGCUAGUGGAGGGGUCCGCGUCCGAUCAGCUAGUUGGUGAGGUCAUGGCUCACCAAGGCGAAGACCGGUAGCUGGUCUGAGAGGACGACCAGCCACACUGGGACUGAGACACGGCCCAGACUCCUACGGGAGGCAGCAGUGGGGAAUAUUGCGCAAUGGACGAAAGUCUGACGCAGCGACGCCGCGUGGAGGACGAAGCCCUUCGGGGUGUAAACUCCUUUCGACGGGGGACGAAACUCUCGCAAGAGACUGACGGUACCCGUAUAAGAAGCCCCGG
This 402-nucleotide ribosomal RNA is filed under the name uncultured bacterium. RNAcentral's name for it is "bacterial SSU rRNA". It matches the Rfam family "Bacterial small subunit ribosomal RNA", at positions 92 to 496 of the family's 1533-position model. The record is from RNAcentral.